This 785-nucleotide long non-coding RNA is filed under the name Sorghum bicolor (sorghum). RNAcentral describes it as "long non-coding RNA (SBIC_LNC012951)". The record is from RNAcentral. Lineage: Eukaryota; Viridiplantae; Streptophyta; Magnoliopsida; Poales; Poaceae.
UCCCAAUCCUAAGGGCUAGUUUGGCAGAGCUCCCAAAGCAGCUUCCAAGCUGAAUAGAGGAGAAGCUCUAUCAAACAAUUUCUUACUGAGAAGUGAUUCUUUGCUAAUUCUAUGAAGUGAUUCUCUGAAAUGAACUUAGAGGCUAGGAGCUGGAAAAAUACCUUUUCUUGGUUCACUUCACGUACAAGUCAAUUUAUGCAUAGAGCACUAGUACAAAAAUCUUUCUAGGCGUUUUAGAUUUUUAGAGGCAGGCAAAGCAACCACCUCCAAUCAAAGGUCACGGACACAAACCAUGGAGGCGGGCGCUUUGCCCACUAUGGUUAAUCAAUAUGAAAAAACAAAAAGAAAAGAAAAUCCCAUAGACAGGCCGUCGAGCCCAUCUAGAUCUGGUCACCCGCCACUAGAUCUGCCCGUCCACAUCCGCAUGCGCCCUCUCCCGCUGCAUCUGGUGAUCAUGGAGGAGGAGCAGACCACCACUGUUAUGAGCCCCUAGGAGGAGGAGCACGCACCGGAUCUGGCCUCCCUGACCGCGAGGAUUGGUGGAUCCGCCAUGCGCCAUGGUGAAAGCCCAAGUUUGGUUUUGGUAAUUAAUGACACCAAGUUGCUAAUGCCUUGUGUUUAAGUGAUUUGAGUUAGGUAUAGCAACACAUGUGAUGAAGGUGCAUGGUGGCAUGGAAAGGUGGCCACAUGAUCACAAAGGGAUGAAGCAUGAAGUGAAGAUCAUGGUGAUAGACGAGGAGCAAAGUUAUCAAGGAAAAGGUAUAAACAUAGGGUUUUACUUUGGC